AGUGGCGGACGGGUGAGUAACGCGUGGGUAACCUUCCUUGUACUGGGGGACAACAGUUAGAAAUGACUGUUAAUACCGCAUAAGCGCACAGUAUCGCAUGAUACAGUGUGAAAAACUCCGGUGGUACAAGAUGGACCCGCGUCUGAUUAGCUAGUUGGUAAGGUAACGGCUUACCAAGGCGACGAUCAGUAGCCGACCUGAGAGGGUGACCGGCCACAUUGGGACUGAGACACGGCCCAA
Molecule: ribosomal RNA, 240 nt
Filed under: uncultured bacterium
Lineage: Bacteria
Description: partial 16S ribosomal RNA
Rfam family: Bacterial small subunit ribosomal RNA
Source: RNAcentral